Molecule: ribosomal RNA, 253 nt
Filed under: uncultured bacterium
Lineage: Bacteria
Description: partial 16S ribosomal RNA
Rfam family: Bacterial small subunit ribosomal RNA
Source: RNAcentral
CACGGACUGCGCGAACGUUAUUCGGAAUCACUGGGCUUAAAGCGUUCGUAGGCGGCCGUGCAGGUGGGGUGUGAAAUCCCUCGGCUUAACCGAGGAAUUGCGCUCCAAACCACAUGGCUUGAGAGAGAUAGAGGUGAGCGGAACUCACGGUGGAGCGGUGAAAUGCGUUGAUAUCGUGAGGAACACCGGUGGCGAAAGCGGCUCACUGGGUCUCUUCUGACGCUGAGGGACGAAAGCUAGGGGAGCGAACGGG